GGGUACCNACUACAGAUGGACCAGCGCGCAUUAGCUAGUUGGUGAGGUAAAGGCUCACCAAAGCAACGAUGCGUAGCCGACCUGAGAGGGUGAUCGGCCACACUGGGACUGAGACACGGCCCAGACUCAUACGGGAGGCAGCAGUAGGGAAUCUUCCGCAAUGGACGAAAGUCUGACGGAGCAACGCCGCGUGAGUGAUGAAGGUUUUCGGAUCGUAAAGCUCUGUUGUUAGGGAAGAACAAGUACCGUUCGAAUAGGGCGGUACCUUGACGGUACCUAACCAGAAAGCCACGGCUAACUACGUGCCAGCAGCCGCGGUAAUACGUAGGUGGCAAGCGUUGUCCGGAAUUAUUGGGCGUAAAGGGCUCGCAGGCGGUUUCUUAAGUCUGAUGUGAAAGCCCCCGGCUCAACCGGGGAGGGUCAUUGGAAACUGGGGAACUUGAGUGCAGAAGAGGAGAGUGGAAUUCCACGUGUAGCGGUGAAAUGCGUAGAGAUGUGGAGGAACACCAGUGGCGAAGGCGACUCUCUGGUCUGUAACUGACGCUGAGGAGCGAAAGCGUGGGGAGCGAACAGGAUUAGAUACCCUGGUAGUCCACGCCGUAAACGAUGAGUGCUAAGUGUUAGGGGGUUUCCGCCCCUUAGUGCUGCAGCUAACGCAUUAAGCACUCCGCCUGGGGAGUACGGUCGCAAGACUGAAACUCAAAGGAAUUGACGGGGGCCCGCACAAGCGGUGGAGCAUGUGGUUUAAUUCGAAGCAACGCGAAGAACCUUACCAGGUCUUGACAUCCUCUGACAAUCCUAGAGAUAGGACGUCCCCUUCGGGGGCAGAGUGACAGGUGGUGCAUGGUUGUCGUCAGCCUC
This 861-nucleotide ribosomal RNA is filed under the name Bacillus subtilis. RNAcentral's name for it is "bacterial SSU rRNA". It matches the Rfam family "Bacterial small subunit ribosomal RNA", at positions 205 to 1062 of the family's 1533-position model. Lineage: Bacteria; Bacillati; Bacillota; Bacilli; Caryophanales; Bacillaceae. The record is from RNAcentral.